Molecule: long non-coding RNA, 513 nt
Filed under: Gossypium raimondii (Peruvian cotton)
Lineage: Eukaryota; Viridiplantae; Streptophyta; Magnoliopsida; Malvales; Malvaceae
Description: long non-coding RNA (GRAI_LNC011243)
Source: RNAcentral
UAUUUUCUUGUUGCAGGAACGUGCUUACAACAUUCCUAGAUCCGUAACAUACGAAGAUAGUCUAUUUCGUUAGGCUACAUCGUAUCAUCUGGUAUUAGAGCAUAGGUUGGAAUUGUUGUACUUUUCUUCUCCAAUAAGAAAAUUCAAAAUUCAAAACAAAAAAAUAUAUAUAUCAGUUUCGAAAAUUCAAAAAAAACAACAACAAAAAGAGAAAGAAAAAUCAGAUUCAAAAAUAAAAAAAUAAAAAAAAGAAAGGAGGAAUUGAAAUUUAUCAAGUUUGGGAAAGAAAAAAAAGUGUGUUUUGUUAUGUUGAAAUGUUGAAUAAUGUUUAGUUUUGUACUCUGUAAUUGCGAAGUUCUUGGAUAUCAACUGAAACGAACUAUUCUUAUUUGUUCGGUGCUAGGAACGUUGUAAAGCACUUCUUUGCAGUAAGAAACUAAAUUAUUUAAAUUCCAUCUUUUUUCCUUUGUUUAUUUUAUUUUCUUAUCCUUUCCCUUUGUUUAUUUAUUUUUU